Molecule: non-coding RNA, 48 nt
Organism: Trichobilharzia regenti
Lineage: Eukaryota; Metazoa; Platyhelminthes; Trematoda; Strigeidida; Schistosomatidae
Source: Rfam
AUCCAGAUGUCGAGUCCCAUAUAGGACGAAAUGCGCUUCAUCCUGGAU